GCUCUGAUUCAAGCUUAAAUAUGAAAAAUCUAUCAAAUAUGUCAAAAAACGUCACUUUUCAGAUGGUUUUUGUCAAAAAUGAAAGUGGUCGCAUCCGUGUUCAUCCUCAAACUUUACAUAUGUUUUGUAUUAUCAUCAAAUACAACUUAAAUUUCAAUAUUAUGAAUGAACACGAAUGCGGCCACUUUCAUUUUAGACGGAAACCGUCUAAAAGUUAACCAAAAUGAUAAAAUUUUGAAGAUUUCAGUAAUUUAGCAUAACUUAAUGAUGCUAGAACGCGAUAUUUGUGCAUUGUAUUGUCAAAAACAGCUCAUAUUUAUGUAGGAGAAGCAUUUUACUUUCCAAAAUAUAGCUUAAAGAUUACAUUUUCACAAUUUUCUAAAACUGCUAUAUUUUGGGGCCAAAAAGGGGUCUUACUGAAC
This 422-nucleotide long non-coding RNA is filed under the name Mytilus galloprovincialis (Mediterranean mussel). Lineage: Eukaryota; Metazoa; Mollusca; Bivalvia; Mytilida; Mytilidae. The record is from RNAcentral.